This 33-nucleotide non-coding RNA is filed under the name Escherichia coli. The record is from RNAcentral. Lineage: Bacteria; Pseudomonadati; Pseudomonadota; Gammaproteobacteria; Enterobacterales; Enterobacteriaceae.
UGUGUUUGCGGCAUUAACGCUCACCAGCAUUUC